UGAUAACUGAUUGAAUCUUCUUACACUAUUUAGUCAUUCUUUGGUGAAUCCAAGAAAACCAUAGUGCUAGAAUGUUGAUGUUAAAAGUUUAUAUUGAUCCCAUCAGGCAAUAUCAUCAGGAUGGCUGCACAAAUGAACCCUAAGGAUCAAUUUUCCAAGCUACAUCCGGGCUUCCCUGUGAAAACGAGAAUCGCAAUAGUAGGAGGUGGUCCUAGUGGAUUAUCAGCUGCCUACGCGCUGUGUAAACUCGGUUAUAAUAAUGUAACCGUGCUGGAGAAACAUCACACAGUCAGUGGAAUGUGUUUAUCUGUUGAUAUAGAAGGAAAGAUUUAUGAUCUUGGUGGACAAGUCCUUGCAGCCAGUAGCUCUCCCACAAUCUUUCACUUGGCAAAUGAAGCUGGUUCGGAAUUGGAAGAAAUGGAUUCCCACAAACUUGCAUUAAUUGAUAGUUUCACAGGGAAGUAUGAGGACAUCCAGGUUGCAGAUGACUAUGUUUCUGCAGUCUCGCUCACAUUAGAUCUCCAGGUCAGUUUCUUUUGCUGUUAGUAGAUGAUCUGUCUCUUAUUCUCAGUACUCAGUUCACACAGAGAGAAGCUAAAAUCAUAAUGUUCGGUUCACAGGAUAAAGCGAAGACGUCAGGUCGAAUUGGAGUUCACGCCAUAAGUGACUUAGCUUAUGAUUCAACACCUGCAUUUCUUGAGGAUCAUGGAUUCAGUUCUGUUCCAAAAUCUGUAGCUUAUGGAUAUACAGCUUCCGGAUAUGGAUUUGUUCAAGAUAUGCCAUAUGCUUACAUUCAUGAAUUCACCAGAACAUCUAUGGCCGGUAAAAUUAGACGUUUCAAAGGUGGAUACAUGAGUAUGUGGCAAAAAAUUAGUGAAUCCCUCCCCAUAGAAGUCCUCUGCAACACAGAAGUAGUAGCAAUCAGGCGCAACUCAUCAGGUGUCAACAUUAAAGUCAAACAGAAUGACGGAAACUUGAUAACUAGGGAAUUCGAUAAAGUCAUAAUAUCUGGAUCAUUUCCCUUCAAGAAUGGGAGAACAUAUAGAUCACCGUCAUUGUUGGAAGAAGGUUUGAGAUUUUACUCAUUUUGCUGCUUCCAUCUAGCUUUAAACUGUGUUUAGUAGCUAAACAAUAAAUUUUAUCUUACAGAUGCUGAUGAUGAAAUCCUGGAUUUCAGUGAACUUGAAAAGGAAUUGUUUAGGAAAGUGCAGACUAUUGACUACUACACAACUGUCAUGAAGAUUAAGGGUCUGGAACAUCUGCCGGUCGGGUUCUUUUACUUUGGGGAGUUCAUGGAUGAUCCUGAAACUAUAGGAAAUCCGGUGGCUCUGCAGAAAUUCUAUUCUGAUACCAAUAUCUUCCUAUUCUGGUCAUAUGGCAACUCAGCCAAUGUCAGAGGACAAGAAGUCACUCAGCUAGCAAUUGAUGCAGUCAAAAGAAUGGGGGGAGAAAUUGAAAUGGUAAUUCUACAACAGAGAUUCAAAUAUUUCCCUCAUGUUGAAAGCCAAGGUAGAGUCCACAUCUUGAUGAGAUUCUGUUUUGCCUCCCAUAUUUACAGCUACUAAUUUCAUUCUACUUUAAUAUAGUUAUGAAAGGUGGGUUCUACGAGAAACUAGAAACUGAACUUCAAGGCCAGCAGAAUACUUACUACAUAGGUGGACUCAUGGCAUUUGAGCUUACGGAGAGGAAUUCAUCCUACGCUAUGGGGUUGGUUUGCAAGCACUUUGCAACUGAUGAAUUAAUUCCAAGGUUUCCUUAUGUAAAGGUACUUGAUACUGUCAAUUCUUAAAGAUCAAACUCAGAUUACAGAAUAAAUGCUUAUUUACUUACUUGACCUUCAUUUCUGUAGAGAUUGUUUACACUGAAGUCAGAGUGCCGGGAUAAGAUCCCUAGAGAGCUUGAUGAAUCUAAGGGAUUAGAAUUUCCAGAUCUAUCCAGCCUUGAUUGCUAUUUGAAAUACUGGGGAAAUCAUAACAUCAGUUGCAACAAAAUCCUUUAUAGAUGGAUAAAUGAUGAAGGAGAAGUGAUGGGCCAAAGAACUUUUGGAGAACUUCAUGCUAAUGCUGCUUGCAUUGCUGAGAAGCUAUUGUCUAGCAGAAAACCAGUCAUCAAUCCAGGUGACAGGGUCCUUCUUGUUCAUGUCCCAGGUCUGGAUUUUAUUGAUGCCUUUUUUGGGUGUUUAAGAGCCAGAGUAUUGCCAGUCCCAGCUCUUCCCCCUGAUCCACUUCAAAGAGGUGGACAAGCACUUUUGAAGAUAGAGAAUAUUGCAAAAUCAUGCAAGGCGGUGGCAAUUCUCUCCACCGUAGGUUAUCAAUUAGCUGUUAGAGCAGGCUCCGUGAAGAAUUUGAUAUCGUUGCCCAAUAAAAAUGGAAAGGGCUCGGGUCGCUGGCCUAAUCUUCCUUGGUUACACACUGAUUCUUGGGUGAAAAACUCCAAAGAUGCGCCUUCAGUAAGUAUAGAUUGUAAUUCAGUGCCACGUGCUGAUGAACUAUGCUUUCUCCAAUUCACAUCAGGAUCAACUGGAGACGCAAAAGGUGUUGUUAUAACUCAUAGUGGGCUAAUUCAUAAUGUGAAGCUAAUGCAAAGGAGAUACCAUAGCACAUCAAACACAGUACUUAUCAGCUGGCUCCCCCAAUACCAUGACAUGGGACUGAUUGGUGGGCUUUUCACAGCUCUGGUUAGUGGUGGAACUGCUAUCUUGUUCUCCCCGAUGACAUUCAUUAAGAACCCUCUCCUGUGGCUUGAAACUAUCAGCAAGUACAGGGGAACUCAUAGUGCAGGCCCCAACUUCUCUUUUGAACUUGUAGUACGAAGGUUGGAGGUUGAGAAGAAUAAGAUUCGGAAGUAUGACCUUUCCUCCAUGAUUUUUCUGAUGAUUGCUGCUGAACCAGUAAGGCAGAAAACUCUAAAAAGAUUCAUUGAGCUAACAAGUCCUUAUGGCCUUUCCCAAUAUGUGAUGGCUCCUGGCUAUGGAUUGGCAGAAAACUGUGUGUUUGUCAGUUGCGCUUAUGGGGAAGGAAAACCUAUUGUGGUGGAUUGGCAAGGAAGGGUAUGUUGUGGGUAUGUAAAUCCAAACGAUACAGAUGUAAACAUUAGAAUAGUGGAUCCAGAAACUGGUGAAGAGCAGAAAGAAUCUGGAAAGGAAGGAGAAAUAUGGAUUAGUAGUCCAAGUGCAGGAAUUGGGUACUGGGGCAGGGAGGAACUCAGUGAAAGCACUUUUAGGAAUAAGCUUGAGAAUCAUCCCGGUGCAAGCUACACAAGAACUGGGGAUCUAGGACGAAUAAUUAACGGGAAUUUGUUCAUUACUGGAAGAAUCAAGGAUCUUAUAAUAGUUGCAGGAAGAAAUAUCUAUUCGGCUGAUGUAGAGAAGACUGUUGAGAGCUCAUGUGAACUGCUGCGCCCUGGUUGCUGUGCUGUCAUUGGGGUUCCUGAGGAUAUAUUAUCGGCAAAAGGGAUACCAAUAUCAGAUACGUCUGAUCAGGUGGGGUUGGUAGUGAUUGCAGAAACUAGAGAUGGUAAACCAGCAAGUAAAGACGAUUUUGAGAAAAUAAAGGCCAAGGUUGCAGAAGAACACGGUGUGAAUUUGGCUUCUGUUAAGUUGAUUAAACCAAGAACUAUCAGCAAGACAACAUCUGGAAAAAUCAAAAGGUUUGAAUGCCUCAAACAAUUCACUGAUGAGACACUGAAUUUGGUACCAGAACCAAAGAUCCCAAAGAGAUUACUUUUACGGUCCAAUACUACAGGAACAUGUAGGGAUGGUCAUACUCCUCGAAAGCAUCUGAAGACAAAUCUACCUUCACCAGGUACAAAAUUAGGUGGCAGAGAAAUUGUGGAGUUUUUAAAGGAACUUAUCUCUGAGCAAACUGGUAUUCCAGUCAGUAAGAUCUCCACAACUGCAAACCUUACAUCUUAUGGCAUCGAUUCCAUAGGGGUGGUCAGAGCAGCUCAAAAGCUUUCGGAUUAUCUUGGGGUGCCAGUUGGGGCAGUUGAUAUUUUCACAGCAACCAGCAUUGAAGAUUUGGCUAGCUUCUCAGAAGAUAUUGUCACGAAAUCUCAGCCUCAAGACAUGAGAAUUUCUGCAUCUCUUCCAGAACCUGAGGUUAAUUUUUCUGAGUUACUGACUGAAGUUUCCUUAUCUCACCAAUUGGGUAUCAUGUCAUUGCAAUUUCUUGCCCUCAUAUAUGUCUCCAUCUUGCUGAUCCUUCCUGCAUAUUUAUCAAUAUCUGUAUUUCUGAAGAUGAUUUCUGCCUCUCAUAAUUUGAUAAAUGGAACUCCAUGGGCACCUUACAUGCUUUCCCUGGCAUUUGCACCUCUUGCAUGGAUCCUCUGCAUAUUUUCUACAUGCAGUUGUAUUGCUCUUUUCGGGAAUUCAUUCCUUCAACCGAACUAUGCCUUAAUUCCUGAAAUUUCCAUAUGGUCAUUGGAUUACGUCAAGUGGUGGACACUAUACAAAGCUCAAGAGGUUUCAUCAAAAGUUCUGGCCGUGCAUUUGAAAGGAACAGUGUUACUGAAUUACUGGUUUCAGAUGUUUGGAGCUAAGAUAGGAUCAUGUGUUGUACUUGAUACUGUUGAUAUCACUGAUCCAGCUCUAGUUUCUAUUGGAGAUGGAGUGGUAAUUGCAGAGGGAGUAUUAAUCCAAGGCCAUGAAAUGAGGAAUGGAAUCUUGAGCUUCCAUCCAAUUAGAAUUGGAAAAAGUUCUUCAAUUGCUCCUUAUGCUGCAAUCCAAAGAGGAAGCGUGCUGGGAGAAGGAACUGAAGUACCUGCUUUGCAAAUCACUGAUGAAGGAAAACCCAUUUCAAAAUCCAAGGCUAAUAACAUUCAGAAGGUAAACUCUAAUUGUCCCUGUCACAUAUGCAAUACCCAGUCAUUAAAGAUAUCUUUCAUUCUAAGAAUUUAAAUGUCUAGUUCCAUAUCAAAUACAUACACCACAAUGUAUUUCUUCUUCCUAUGACUAUAAAAUAACCUUGUCAAACAACUCACCCUCGGUCUUUUUUCAUCUGGGUGCAUUAUCCUAUUAGCAAUGAAAAAUUUCUAUAAUAAUUUGAAGCACAACAUUUGAUUAUCAAUGGGAAAAAUAGUUUAACAAUCUUAAGAUUGAAAUUGAUUACCAGUUACUUUACUCCACUGUGGGUGACAGGUUAUGGAACUUUCGAAGGUGAUAGGUGACACUCAAUAUCAGACUAUUCACC
RNAcentral lists this long non-coding RNA (5189 nucleotides) under Olea europaea (common olive). RNAcentral describes it as "long non-coding RNA (OEUR_LNC007766)". The record is from RNAcentral. Lineage: Eukaryota; Viridiplantae; Streptophyta; Magnoliopsida; Lamiales; Oleaceae.